RNAcentral lists this ribosomal RNA (461 nucleotides) under uncultured bacterium. Its description in RNAcentral is "bacterial SSU rRNA". It matches the Rfam family "Bacterial small subunit ribosomal RNA", at positions 34 to 484 of the family's 1533-position model. The record is from RNAcentral.
GAAUUCACUAGUGAUUCAGGCCUAACACAUGCAAGUCGAGCGGUAGAGAGAAGCUUGCUUCUCUUGAGAGCGGCGGACGGGUGAGUAAUGCCUAGGAAUCUGCCUGGUAGUGGGGGAUAACGUUCGGAAACGGACGCUAAUACCGCAUACGUCCUACGGGAGAAAGCAGGGGACCUUCGGGCCUUGCGCUAUCAGAUGAGCCUAGGUCGGAUUAGCUAGUUGGUGAGGUAAUGGCUCACCAAGGCUACGAUCCGUAACUGGUCUGAGAGGAUGAUCAGUCACACUGGAACUGAGACACGGUCCAGACUCCUACGGGAGGCAGCAGUGGGGAAUAUUGGACAAUGGGCGAAAGCCUGAUCCAGAAAGGGCCGCGUGUGUGAAGAAGGUCUUCGGAUUGUAAAUUAAUGGAAGUUGGGAGGAAGGGCAUUAACCUAAUACGUUAGUGUUUGACGUACCGACAG